This 497-nucleotide ribosomal RNA is filed under the name uncultured bacterium. RNAcentral's name for it is "partial 16S ribosomal RNA". It matches the Rfam family "Bacterial small subunit ribosomal RNA", at positions 28 to 507 of the family's 1533-position model. The record is from RNAcentral.
GACGAACGCUGGCGGCGUGCCUAAUACAUGCAAGUUGAGCGCUGAAGGUUGGUACUUGUACCAACUGGAUGAGCAGCGAACGGGUGAGUAACGCGUGGGGAAUCUGCCUUUGAGCGGGGGACAACAUUUGGAAACGAAUGCUAAUACCGCAUAAAAACUUUAAACACAAGUUUUAAGUUUGAAAGAUGCAAUUGCAUCACUCAAAGAUGAUCCCGCGUUGUAUUAGCUAGUUGGUGAGGUAAAGGCUCACCAAGGCGAUGAUACAUAGCCGACCUGAGAGGGUGAUAGGCCACAUUGGGACUGGGACACGGCCCCAACUCCUACGGGAGACACAAGUAGGGGAUCUCCGGGGAUGGACGAAAGUGUGACCGAGCGACGCGGCGUGAGUGGAGAAGGUUUUCGGGUCGUAAAACUCUGUUGGUAGAGAAGAACGUUGGUGAGAGUGGAAAGCUCAUCAAGUGACGGUAACUACCCAGAAAGGGACGGCUAACUACGUG